AUCUGUGAUGAUUAAAUAUGUCGCCCCAGUCUGAUGUAUAAAAAUACACUGACUGAUUGACUUACUCAUUCAAUCUGAGAU
Actinia tenebrosa (Australian red waratah sea anemone) is the source of this 81-nucleotide small nucleolar RNA. RefSeq annotates it as small nucleolar RNA U31b. Lineage: Eukaryota; Metazoa; Cnidaria; Anthozoa; Actiniaria; Actiniidae. The record is from RefSeq and is a predicted model, not a curated record.